GAGGAAGUAAAAGUCGUAACAAGGUUUCCGUAGGUGAACCUGCGGAAGGAUCAUUAUCGAGUUUUGAAACGGGUUGUAGCUGGUCUUCCGAGACAUGUGCACGCCCGGCUCAUCCACUCUACACCUGUGCACUUACUGUAGGCUUCAGGAGCUGCUCGGACUUUCAUUAGUUCGGGUUGUGACUGGGCUUACGUUUACUACAAACUUCAUAAGUAUCAGAAUGUGUAUUGCGAUGUAACGCAUCUAUAUACAACUUUCAGCAACGGAUCUCUUGGCUCUCGCAUCGAUGAAGAACGCAGCGAAAUGCGAUAAGUAAUGUGAAUUGCAGAAUUCAGUGAAUCAUCGAAUCUUUGAACGCACCUUGCGCUCCUUGGUAUUCCGAGGAGCAUGCCUGUUUGAGUGUCGUGAAAUUCUCAACCUAACAAGUUUGUAACGAGCUUGCUUAGGCUUGGACUUGGAGGCUUUGCCGGCUGCUUAGUUCAGUCGGCUCCUCUCAAAUGCAUUAGCUUGGUUCCUUGCGGAUCGGCUCACGGUGUGAUAAUUGUCUACGCCGCGACCGUGAAGCGUUUAUUGGCCAGCUUCUAAUCGUCUCUAACGAGACAACACUAUCGAACUCUGACCUCAAAUCAGGUAGGACUACCCGCUGAACUUAAGCAUAUCAA
RNAcentral lists this ribosomal RNA (662 nucleotides) under Polyporus tricholoma. RNAcentral's name for it is "eukaryotic LSU rRNA". The stretch from base 252 to 405 matches the Rfam family "5.8S ribosomal RNA". The record is from RNAcentral. Lineage: Eukaryota; Fungi; Basidiomycota; Agaricomycetes; Polyporales; Polyporaceae.